RNAcentral lists this ribosomal RNA (636 nucleotides) under uncultured Bacteroidota bacterium. Its description in RNAcentral is "bacterial SSU rRNA". It matches the Rfam family "Bacterial small subunit ribosomal RNA", at positions 858 to 1503 of the family's 1533-position model. Lineage: Bacteria; Pseudomonadati; Bacteroidota. The record is from RNAcentral.
CAUUAAGUAAGCCACCUGGGGAGUACGUUCGCAAGAAUGAAACUCAAAGGAAUUGACGGGGGCCCGCACAAGCGGAGGAACAUGUGGUUUAAUUCGAUGAUACGCGAGGAACCUUACCAGAGCUUAAAUGUAGAGUGCCCGGCAUGGAGGCAUGUCUUUUCUUCGGAACACUUUACAAGGUGCUGCAUGGUUGUCGUCAGCUCGUGCCGUGAGGUGUCGGGUUAAGUCCCAUAACGAGCGCAACCCCUAUCGUUAGUUGCUAGCAGGUAAUGCUGAGGACUCUAGCGAGACUGCCGGUGUAAACCGUGAGGAAGGUGGGGAUGACGUCAAAUCAGCACGGCCCUUAUGUUCUGGGCUACACACGUGUUACAAUGGAUGGUACAAAGAGCAGCUACCUAGUGAUAGGAUGCUAAUCUUCAAAGCCAUUCUCAGUUCGGAUUGGAGUCUGCAACUCGACUCCAUGAAGUUGGAUUCGCUAGUAAUCGUAGAUCAGCAACGCUACGGUGAAUACGUUCCCGGGCCUUGUACACACCGCCCGUCAAGCCAUGGAAGUUGGAAGUGCCUGAAGACUGUUGCCGCAAGGGACGGUUUAGGGUAAAGCUGAUAACUGGGGCUAAGUCGUAACAAGGUAGCCGU